GUGGGGAAUAUUGGACAAUGGGGGGAACCCUGAUCCAGCCAUGCCGCGUGUGUGAAGAAGGCCUUUUGGUUGUAAAGCACUUUAAGCGAGGAGGAGGCUACCGAGAUUAAUACUCUUGGAUAGUGGACGUUACUCGCAGAAUAAGCACCGGCUAACUCUGUGCCAGCAGCCGCGGUAAUACAGAGGGUGCAAGCGUUAAUCGGAUUUACUGGGCGUAAAGCGCGCGUAGGUGGCCAAUUAAGUCAAAUGUGAAAUCCCCGAGCUUAACUUGGGAAUUGCAUUCGAUACUGGUUGGCUAGAGUAUGGGAGAGGAUGGUAGAAUUCCAGGUGUAGCGGUGAAAUGCGUAGAGAUCUGGAGGAAUACCGAUGGCGAAGGCAGCCAUCUGGCCUAAUACUGACGCUGAGGUACGAAAGCAUGGGGAGCAAACAGGAUUAGAUACCCGUGUAGUCC
RNAcentral lists this ribosomal RNA (451 nucleotides) under uncultured bacterium. Its description in RNAcentral is "partial 16S ribosomal RNA". It matches the Rfam family "Bacterial small subunit ribosomal RNA", at positions 354 to 796 of the family's 1533-position model. The record is from RNAcentral.